AUUGAACGCUGGCGGCAGGCCUAACACAUGCAAGUCGAACGGUAACAGGAAGAAGCUUGCUUCUUUGCUGACGAGUGGCGGACGGGUGAGUAAUGUCUGGGAAACUGCCUGAUGGAGGGGGAUAACUACUGGAAACGGUAGCUAAUACCGCAUAACGUCGCAAGACCAAAGAGGGGGACCUUCGGGCCUCUUGCCAUCGGAUGUGCCCAGAUGGGAUUAGCUAGUAGGUGGGGUAACGGCUCACCUAGGCGACGAUCCCUAGCUGGUCUGAGAGGAUGACCAGCCACACUGGAACUGAGACACGGUCCAGACUCCUACGGGAGGCCGCAGUGGGGAAUAUUGCACAAUGGGCGCAAGCCUGAUGCAGCCAUGCCGCGUGUAUGAAGAAGGCCUUCGGGUUGUAAAGUACUUUCAGCGGGGAGGAAGGGAGUAAAGUUAAUACCUUUGCUCAUUGACGUUACCCGCAGAAGAAGCACCGGCUAACUCCGUG
RNAcentral lists this ribosomal RNA (490 nucleotides) under uncultured bacterium. Its description in RNAcentral is "partial 16S ribosomal RNA". It matches the Rfam family "Bacterial small subunit ribosomal RNA", at positions 30 to 507 of the family's 1533-position model. The record is from RNAcentral.